This 249-nucleotide ribosomal RNA is filed under the name uncultured prokaryote. RNAcentral describes it as "partial 16S ribosomal RNA". It matches the Rfam family "Bacterial small subunit ribosomal RNA", at positions 524 to 772 of the family's 1533-position model. The record is from RNAcentral.
UACGGAGGAUGCAAGCGUUAUCCGGAUUUAUUGGGUUUAAAGGGUGCGCAGGUUGUUUGAUAAGUCAGUGGUGAAAGUCUGUCGCUUAACGGUAGGAUUGCCAUUGAUACUGUUGGACUUGAAUAUGGAUGAGGUAGGCGGAAUGUGUAGUGUAGCGGUGAAAUGCAUAGAUAUUACACAGAACACAGAUUGCGAAGGCAGCUUACUAAUCCAUCAUUGACGCUGAGGCACGAAAGCGUGGGGAUCAAA